CUUAAUUAAUUAUUUCCCAGAUGAUGAAUACAUAAGGAUUCGAAAGCUCGUAAUAUAUUAAAGUGAGUACACUUUGGUGUUUAAUUUUACCACACAUAAAAUCAUGGCCACUUUUUCAUAAAAUUAACAAACCUUUUUGUCGAUAACAACAUCCCCAAUGGCUCGCAGCUGUAAGGAGGGGGUUGUAACCACUGACUAGUUUCGACGUUAUUACGUCUAAUUAGAGUGGUUUAACAAUCCUAGUUCGAGCUUGAGAUCUGAAUUGAAAACUUUAAGAGCGUCGCAAUUUGGUUCAUGUAGUUAAAAAUUACGCAUUUUUUGUAUUUUACUGAUUUUUAUUGUUUUUUUUCUUUCAUUUUGGUGGUAUGAUAGCUUAUUUAUUCAUUUCCGGCAAAAACAAACUUUUAUGGAUGAAUUGAGAUUAUGUUAAGAUUAUAUUCGACUAAUUUGUAGGUGUUCAUCAUUAUUUCGAUGUAAUUUAGUUUCUUUUUGUGUUUAUACUGUAAAUAUUUAGAUUAAUUGAAGUGGGGCGUUAAUUUUGUCCAGGAGUUUGACUACAAUGUUGCCAUACAUUUUGCUAUAAAUUUUAUUACUUGAUUCCGGAUGUUUAACGGCUAGAAGUUGAAGUACGUAAACAAUAAGUGAAAAAGGAGGGUGAUAGAGGAAAACUGGAGAGAACAAACGAUUUUUAUUAUAAUCGAAACCGAGUAUUGUAGCAAAUAUACAAACAUAAUUUGCUUAAAGUAUAUUUCCAGUACAUUAGGAAAUUUUUAACCUUAACGACUUCUUAUCGUCGUACUAAUUAGUCGUUGAAGCAUAAAUUAAAUGACAGGCACGUUUGCAACAUUAAGUAAAUAAUAUUAUCAAUUUUUUAACGUCGGUCAACAAAUUCUUGCGUUAAUUUCUGUGUAUAAUCUAAUUAAAAACAAAAUAGUAAAAAAAUGCAUCUAUGGUUCCACCUAUUAACUUUUUCCCAUCACUUUUUCGUAUUAUUAUAUUGCCAUGAGAAUAUGGACACUAAGGAUGUAAAAGAUAGAGAAGUUUUAAUUAUGUUGAAAUAUCGUUUUUUUUAUUUUACAAGUUGGAACUUUUUUAUUCAAAUUGUUUAUUUCGGUUUAGCUAUAUGGUAUGAUGUCUUACUACGAUUACAAUCAAAACAGAAACAACUAGCAACAAUAUUAAAAUGGAAAAGUUAUUUAUACACGAGUAUCAUUUUUCCGUCGGGAUUUUUUGUUCCUGGAAUGUUUUGGGGGUUGUAUAAUAUUGAAAAGGAGUAUGUAUAUCCGAAAAGUUGCGAACUAUAUUUUCCCACGUGGCUAAAUCACUCUUUACACACUGUUACUUGCUUGGUUGUUUUUAUAGAAUCCUUCGUCGUAGA
Long non-coding RNA from Diorhabda carinulata, 1378 nucleotides. RefSeq lists it as uncharacterized. The record is from RefSeq and is a predicted model, not a curated record. NCBI's taxonomy places the organism in Eukaryota, Metazoa, Arthropoda, Insecta, Coleoptera, Chrysomelidae. The transcript is spliced from 3 exons.